GACGAACGCUGGCGGCGUGCCUAAUACAUGCCAGUAGAACGCUGAAGGAGGAGCUUGCUUCUCUGGAUGAGUUGCGAACGGGUGAGUAACGCGUAGGUAACCUGCCUGGUAGCGGGGGAUAACUAUUGGAAACGAUAGCUAAUACCGCAUAAGAGUAGAUGUUGCAUGACAUUUGCUUAAAAGGUGCAAUUGCAUCACUACCAGAUGGACCUGCGUUGUAUUAGCUAGUUGGUGGGGUAACGACUUACCAAGGCGACGAUACAUAGCCGACCUGAGAGGGUGAUCGGCCACACUGGGACUGAGACACGGCCCAGACUCCUACGGGAGGCAGCAGUAGGGAAUCUUCGGCAAUGGACGGAAGUCUGACCGAGCAACGCCGCGUGAGUGAAGAAGGGUUUCGGAUCGUAAAGCUCUGUUGUAAGAGAAGAACGAGUGUGAGAGUGGAAAGUUCACACUGUGACGGUAUCUUACCAGAAAGGGACGGCUAACUACGUG
Molecule: ribosomal RNA, 495 nt
Filed under: uncultured bacterium
Lineage: Bacteria
Description: partial 16S ribosomal RNA
Rfam family: Bacterial small subunit ribosomal RNA
Source: RNAcentral